CCCCCUCAUCACCAGCGAUCCAAUCAAGACAAAGAGAAGUAUGACAGCCAUUCUGAGUGAGUACAUGCAAAUCAUCAACAGGGGUAGGAAUAGACUGUUUUUCUAAAAGGUUGUGUCUAGCUUGUUCAAGUUCUUUAACAACAUCAAUAAUAGCAAAAUCAUUAUCAGGUAAACAAUUUCCCAUAGAAACAGCUCUAACCAU
RNAcentral lists this long non-coding RNA (202 nucleotides) under Brachypodium distachyon (stiff brome). Its description in RNAcentral is "long non-coding RNA (BDIS_LNC005425)". Lineage: Eukaryota; Viridiplantae; Streptophyta; Magnoliopsida; Poales; Poaceae. The record is from RNAcentral.